This is a long non-coding RNA of Prunus dulcis (almond), 644 nucleotides long. RefSeq lists it as uncharacterized. The record is from RefSeq and is a predicted model, not a curated record. The transcript is spliced from 3 exons. NCBI's taxonomy places the organism in Eukaryota, Viridiplantae, Streptophyta, Magnoliopsida, Rosales, Rosaceae.
CUUAAUUUGUGCACGCAUGAAGGAAACAGUCGGCUGCUACAACAUGAAUGGAAGAAGGCCCAAACAGAAAUUUGUGGUACAAGAAACUUGCUUGAGAUAUUAUCGAAUCUAUGAUUUACCAGAAAAUGUAAAGUUAAUUUCGGAGGACGAGUAUCUAUGCAAGUAUUGCGCAUAGAAUACGUCCAUCUUCUUUAGCACAAAGGCUCCAUGGUUGGAAAAUCGGGCGUAGACAAAGUCCCCACGUCGAUGAAGUUCGGAGGGACAAAGAAAUAAGAAUGUUGUUUGGCUUGGCAUACGUCGAGAUCAGGCUCUUCGACGUCUUUCUUGACGCAUUUUAUCACCGAUUCGGCCACGUGACGUGAAGUUCGAAAACCUUGGUAUUCAAGUACAUUAUCCAAGGGACUAAAAAUUGUGACCUCAACACGAUAAGAGCAAUCAUGGGAGAGCUAGGCAAAGGAAACACAUAAAUGGCGACCAUAUAUGCAAGAGUAUUUUUUUUACUAAAUGACGUAGAUGUUGAGAAGACAUGUAAAUAGUGGUCAUGCAUUGCACUCUCCUUUCCUUCUGUUAAUCAUCUGUCAAGUUAACUGAAAACCUAUAUAUGAGAAUGGGAACAAUUGUUUCGCAUUAGAAGGUUAUAAGGA